UCUUUUUAUUGUGUGCCAGCCGCCGCGGUAAUACGGAAGGUCCGGGCGUUAUCCGGAUUUAUUGGGUUUAAAGGGAGCGUAGGCCGGAGAUUAAGCGUGUUGUGAAAUGUAGAUGCUCAACAUCUGCACUGCAGCGCGAACUGGUUUCCUUGAGUACGCACAAAGUGGGCGGAAUUCGUGGUGUAGCGGUGAAAUGCUUAGAUAUCACGAAGAACUCCGAUUGCGAAGGCAGCUCACUGGAGCGCAACUGACGCUGAAGCUCGAAAGUGCGGGUAUCGAACAGG
Molecule: ribosomal RNA, 284 nt
Filed under: Segatella copri DSM 18205
Lineage: Bacteria; Pseudomonadati; Bacteroidota; Bacteroidia; Bacteroidales; Prevotellaceae
Description: Prevotella copri DSM 18205 partial 16S ribosomal RNA
Rfam family: Bacterial small subunit ribosomal RNA
Source: RNAcentral